GACCUCGGAUCAGGUAGGAAUACCCGCUGAACUUAAGCAUAUCAAUAAGCGGAGGAAAAGAAACCAACAGGGAUUACCCUAGUAACGGCGAGUGAAGCGGUAACAGCUCAAAUUUGAAAUCUGGCCUUUACGGGUCCGAGUUGUAAUUUGUAGAGGAUGUUUCGGAUAAGGCUUUGGUUUAAGUUUCUUGGAACAGAACGUCAUAGAGGGUGAGAAUCCCGUCUAGAACCGAUGGCCGCAUCUAUGUGAAACUCCUUCGACGAGUCGAGUUGUUUGGGAAUGCAGCUCAAAAUGGGUGGUAAAUUUCAUCUAAAGCUAAAUAUUGGCCAGAGACCGAUAGCGCACAAGUAGAGUGAUCGAAAGAUGAAAAGCACUUUGAAAAGAGAGUUAAACAGUAUGUGAAAUUGUUGAAAGGGAAGCGC
Molecule: ribosomal RNA, 422 nt
Filed under: uncultured fungus
Lineage: Eukaryota; Fungi
Description: eukaryotic LSU rRNA
Rfam family: Eukaryotic large subunit ribosomal RNA
Source: RNAcentral